GCCCCCGACAAAGUUCUUCGACCGCCCGUUGGCACAGACGAAAGUUGCAACUAUCCUCAAUUUGUCGGUUGCUGCAAACAGGAGCUCUCUCCCAAGAGAGCAAAGCCCGGAGGUUGAACUUACACCAGUUAUUUGUCUCGACUUCUCCCCAAGAAUCAAUUUAUGAACUAGUUAACGCCAAUUUAUUGAUUCGUGUGUGGUUUUUUUUUUUUUUCUUUUUUCAUUUUCUUUUCCUUCUUUUUUUGGCUUUUCGAUUCUCGAUUCUCGCCUGGAGAGCAAGGAUUUUUCGGGGGAGGGGGGAAAUUUUCGUUAGCCCAGUUCGAUAUCUCGGCCCCAG
This 337-nucleotide small RNA is filed under the name Histoplasma ohiense. Its description in RNAcentral is "hypothetical lncRNA". Lineage: Eukaryota; Fungi; Ascomycota; Eurotiomycetes; Onygenales; Ajellomycetaceae. The record is from RNAcentral.